This 79-nucleotide unclassified non-coding RNA is filed under the name Leishmania tarentolae. Its description in RNAcentral is "snoRNA". The record is from RNAcentral. Lineage: Eukaryota; Euglenozoa; Kinetoplastea; Trypanosomatida; Trypanosomatidae.
CCCCGUUCUGUACCUCGGUGGGUGGCGCCUCCAGGUAAGGAGGGGAUUGGUUUAGGGUUCGAACACUGAAUAAAGAUGG